GAGGGUAUAGCUCAGUGGUAGAGUACAUGCUUAGCAUGCACGAAGUCCUGGGUUCAAUCCCCAGUAACUACA
Molecule: transfer RNA, 72 nt
Filed under: Camelus bactrianus (Bactrian camel)
Lineage: Eukaryota; Metazoa; Chordata; Mammalia; Artiodactyla; Camelidae
Also listed under: 1 other name
Rfam family: tRNA
About the family: Transfer RNA (tRNA) molecules are approximately 80 nucleotides in length. Their secondary structure includes four short double-helical elements and three loops (D, anti-codon, and T loops).
Source: Rfam by way of RNAcentral